Vollenhovia emeryi is the source of this 153-nucleotide long non-coding RNA. RefSeq lists it as uncharacterized. The transcript is spliced from 3 exons. NCBI's taxonomy places the organism in Eukaryota, Metazoa, Arthropoda, Insecta, Hymenoptera, Formicidae. The record is from RefSeq and is a predicted model, not a curated record.
CUUUUAGCGAAGCUGUGAAUUCCUAAUCUAACCAGUGAGUAAAGACGUUAAUACAUUAUGGCUGGAAGAAGCGAGAAAUACGCAUCACCAAAAAAUAUAGACAAAGAAAUGCUGCACACAUGUAGUGUGUGUAAAUCAAAAGUAGUGGAGGAG